GUAGUGGUGGUUCAGUGGUAAAAUUCCUGCCUUCCAUGUAGGAGACCUGGGUUUGAUUCCCGGCCAAUGCA
Molecule: transfer RNA, 71 nt
Filed under: Loxodonta africana (African savanna elephant)
Lineage: Eukaryota; Metazoa; Chordata; Mammalia; Proboscidea; Elephantidae
Rfam family: tRNA
About the family: Transfer RNA (tRNA) molecules are approximately 80 nucleotides in length. Their secondary structure includes four short double-helical elements and three loops (D, anti-codon, and T loops).
Source: Rfam by way of RNAcentral